GAUUCUGUAGUUAAAAGUUUAUAACAUUAGAUUGCAAAUCUAAAGAUGUGUCAUUACUAGGAUUU
Molecule: transfer RNA, 65 nt
Filed under: Tetralia glaberrima
Lineage: Eukaryota; Metazoa; Arthropoda; Malacostraca; Decapoda; Tetraliidae
Also listed under: 1 other name
Description: tRNA-Cys
Rfam family: tRNA
About the family: Transfer RNA (tRNA) molecules are approximately 80 nucleotides in length. Their secondary structure includes four short double-helical elements and three loops (D, anti-codon, and T loops).
Source: RNAcentral